AGUGAACGCUGGCGGUAGGCCUAACACAUGCCAGUCGAACGGCAGCACAGUAAGAGCUUGCUCUUACGGGUGGCGAGUGGCGGACGGGUGAGGAAUACAUCGGAAUCUACUUUUUCGUGGGGGAUAACGUAGGGAAACUUACGCUAAUACCGCAUACGACCUACGGGUGAAAGCAGGGGAUCUUCGGACCUUGCGCGAUUGAAUGAGCCGAUGUCGGAUUAGCUAGUUGGCGGGGUAAAGGCCCACCAAGGCGACGAUCCGUAGCUGGUCUGAGAGGAUGAUCAGCCACACUGGAACUGAGACACGGUCCAGACUCCUACGGGAGGCAGCAGUGGGGAAUAUUGGACAAUGGGCGCAAGCCUGACCCAGCCAUACCGCGUGGGUGAAGAAGGUCUUCGGGUUGUAAAGCCCUUUUGUUGGGAAAGAAAAGCAGCAGGUGAAUACCCCGCUGUUCUGACGGUACCCAAAGAAUAAGCACCGGCUAACUUCGUG
Molecule: ribosomal RNA, 492 nt
Filed under: uncultured bacterium
Lineage: Bacteria
Description: partial 16S ribosomal RNA
Rfam family: Bacterial small subunit ribosomal RNA
Source: RNAcentral